UUUAAACUCGGUUCAUCCUAUCUCGAAACUAUAUAUGAAAAAAAUUGAACUGAGUUUGAACCGCGUCGGAGAAAACGGCCAUUAUUCAUUGAAUGGAGAAAAAACGAGGGAAAUUGAUCUCUGUCAACGUCGUCAACUCGGCCGAACAAUUUUCGAUUUCUGAUUGGUGUAAAUAAUUUCGAGCUCUAGCAGCUUGUUCGGUGAUUAUUGGAUCAAAAUCGACGAAUCGGCUAAUGGCUGUUUUCUCCGACGCGGUUCAAACUCGCAAUAUUUUUCAUAGUUUAUAUUUGAGAUAGGAUUAAACUCAGAUUAACGUUGUAGAAAACGGGCAUGACUUGACAAAAAUGUAUUCGUAAUAUCCUGCGAAUCAAAAAUCCUCAAAAUUAUUAUAAAAGAUAAAACGAUCAACAAAAAACCAGUACAAUAUAUGCGAGUAGAAUGAAUUUCAACCAUAUUGGAUACAGGAGAAGGUAACUGUUUUGAACUCAAGGGAUCCAAGAAAACUGAUGUCUUUAUAAUGGAAACUUUUAGUGGGGAUGUUUUUGAAAAAUGAUCCUAAUCAAAGUACUUCAGAAUAAUAGGACCUCAUUGUCAGCUUAAUCGUUAUUCAUCCGGUGAGCCUAUUCCUGAAGGUAAUAUUCCCAAUCUUACAACUGCCAUGUGAGGGACAAUUAUUUGUAACGCUGGAUUAACCCCAGAAAUCAAGGAAAAAAUUCAGAAAAGAGUGAAAUACACGGGUGGCACAUUUAUGAAACAACUGAAGGCCUGUGCCACUCAUUUAAUAAGCGAUUCUGUCAUGUCACAAAGUACGAGGUAAUGGAAAAUAAUGACAACCUAUCGUAUUUGAUCAAUAACCUCAUGUCCAGUCCUCACAUACUCGCAGUACUCAAAGUCAAUAUCGGAAGACAGCCUAUAUUAUCUUUGAAUAAAGUAAAUUUUGAUGGUGGUGGGGGUAAUAUUGACAUGUAAUUUUCUUGAAUUAUCAUCUGUUGACAUAUUCUUCAGCACGCGUGCUAGGUGAAUAUCAAAAUUUGUUCGAUGAAAAAAUGAAUUCUGUAUGUUUUUACGUAUAUUUGUAUUUCGUUUAAAAGUCCAAUUUAUAUUUAUCAUCUAUCAAUAUUGUAAAAUUUGAGCUUCAUUCCAUUUUUUUUCGUUGAUGUUAUUUUUCUACAAAUGCGCAAAAUAUGAUAGCAUAAAUAUUAUAUAUUAAAAGAAAAAAGUCGACAAUCGAUUGUGAUAUAAAUAAAGGAAUGAUUUAAUGA
Long non-coding RNA from Venturia canescens, 1262 nucleotides. RefSeq lists it as uncharacterized. Lineage: Eukaryota; Metazoa; Arthropoda; Insecta; Hymenoptera; Ichneumonidae. The record is from RefSeq and is a predicted model, not a curated record. The transcript is spliced from 4 exons.